GACGAACGCUGGCGGCGUGCUUAACACAUGCAAGUCGAGCGGUAAGGCCCUUUCGGGGGUACACGAGCGGCGAACGGGUGAGUAACACGUGGGUGACCUGCCCUCAGCUCUGGGAUAAGCCUGGGAAACUGGGUCUAAUACUGGAUAUGACUCCACGGUGCAUGUCGUGGGGUGGAAAGCCUUGUGCGGCUGAGGAUGGGCCCGCGGCCUAUCAGCUUGUUGGUGGGGUGAUGGCCUACCAAGGCGACGACGGGUAGCCGGCCUGAGAGGGCGACCGGCCACACUGGGACUGAGACACGGCCCAGACUCCUACGGGAGGCAGCAGUGGGGAAUCUUGCGCAAUGGGCGAAAGACCUGACGCAGCGACGCCGCGUGAGGGA
Molecule: ribosomal RNA, 380 nt
Filed under: uncultured bacterium
Lineage: Bacteria
Description: bacterial SSU rRNA
Rfam family: Bacterial small subunit ribosomal RNA
Source: RNAcentral